Molecule: ribosomal RNA, 800 nt
Filed under: uncultured bacterium
Lineage: Bacteria
Description: bacterial SSU rRNA
Rfam family: Bacterial small subunit ribosomal RNA
Source: RNAcentral
AGAGUUUGAUCAUGGCUCAGGAUGAACGCUGGCGGCGUGCUUAACACAUGCAAGUCGAACGAAGCACUUUAUUGGAUUUCCUUCGGGGAUGAAGAUUUUGUGACUGAGUGGCGGACGGGUGAGUAACGCGUGGGUAACCUGCCUCAUACAGGGGGAUAACAGUUGGAAACGACUGCUAAUACCGCAUAAGCGCACGGGACCGCAUGAUCCUGUGUGAAAAACUCCGGUGGUAUGAGAUGGGCCCGCGUCUGAUUAGCUAGUUGGCAGGGCAGCGGCCUACCAAGGCGACGAUCAGUAGCCGACCUGAGAGGGUGACCGGCCACAUUGGGACUGAGACACGGCCCAAACUCCUACGGGAGGCAGCAGUGGGGAAUAUUGCACAAUGGGGGAAACCCUGAUGCAGCGACGCCGCGUGAGCGAAGAAGUAUUUCGGUAUGUAAAGCUCUAUCAGCAGGGAAGAAAAAUGACGGUACCUGACUAAGAAGCACCGGCUAAAUACGUGCCAGCAGCCGCGGUAAUACGUAUGGUGCAAGCGUUAUCCGGAUUUACUGGGUGUAAAGGGAGCGCAGGCGGAAGGCUAAGUCUGAUGUGAAAGCCCGGGGCUCAACCCCGGUACUGCAUUGGAAACUGGUCAUCUAGAGUGUCGGAGGGGUAAGUGGAAUUCCUAGUGUAGCGGUGAAAUGCGUAGAUAUUAGGAGGAACACCAGUGGCGAAGGCGGCUUACUGGACGAUGACUGACGCUGAGGCUCGAAAGCGUGGGGAGCAAACAGGAUUAGAUACCCUGGUAGUCCACGCCGUAA